RNAcentral lists this non-coding RNA (190 nucleotides) under Sulfuriroseicoccus oceanibius. Its description in RNAcentral is "6S / SsrS RNA". It matches the Rfam family "6S / SsrS RNA". From Rfam's summary of the family: E. coli 6S RNA was the first non coding RNA to be sequenced, but its function was unknown until recently. The record is from Rfam by way of RNAcentral. Lineage: Bacteria; Pseudomonadati; Verrucomicrobiota; Verrucomicrobiia; Verrucomicrobiales; Verrucomicrobiaceae.
CGGUUCCUACGGUGUUCGACCGCAUGUGGGAAUAUUGGCCCCGACCCGAUGUAUAAACUCCGGGCGGCUUAGCUGGGUAACUGAUGUCAGGCCUCCAUUGGACGGCAGAUGUUGGUUCGGCGGCUGCCCACCUGAUGAGAGUCAGGGAACGAGAGGUCCAAAUCCCACGGACGGCACAUGCGGGAACCAU